Molecule: ribosomal RNA, 492 nt
Filed under: Nymphon australe
Lineage: Eukaryota; Metazoa; Arthropoda; Pycnogonida; Pantopoda; Nymphonidae
Description: partial 16S ribosomal RNA
Rfam family: Bacterial large subunit ribosomal RNA
Source: RNAcentral
CAUAGCUUUUUGUUGAAAAUAAAAAGUAGGGUCUGCCCAGUGAUGAUUUUAACGGCCGCAAUAUUUGUGCGAAGGUAGCAUAAUCAUUUGUCUUUUAAUUGAUGACUGGAAUGAAUGGCUGGACGAGGAUAAGCUGUCUUAUAUAUAUAUAUUUGAAAUUUACUUUUAAGUAAAAAGGCUUAAAUAUUUUAGAGGGACGAGAAGACCCUAUUGAGUUUAAUAGAAUUUAUUUAAAUUUUUCUUAAAUUUUUAUGUAAUCUAUUUAGUUGGGGAGAUUUGAUAUUAUUAACUAUAUAAGAAUUAAUAGACUUUAAGUUUUUAGGAUCCAUAUUUAAUGAGUACUAAGAUAAAUUACCUUAGGGAUAACAGCGUAAUAUUUUUUUAGAGUUCAAAUCGAUUAAAAUGAUUACGACCUCGAUGUUGGAUUAAAGAACCUAAUUUGGAGAAGAUUUUAAUUUAGGUAGUCUGUUCGACUAUUAAAUCUUUACGUGA